RNAcentral lists this long non-coding RNA (1284 nucleotides) under Ornithorhynchus anatinus (platypus). Its description in RNAcentral is "lncRNA (ENSOANG00000044014.1)". Lineage: Eukaryota; Metazoa; Chordata; Mammalia; Monotremata; Ornithorhynchidae. The record is from RNAcentral.
AUGGCUCGGCGUGCCCCUACUCCUGCCAUCAGCAUCUCAGCCUCUCUCGGUGUCUCCCCACCCCUGCCAUCGGGGCCUCAGCCUCUCUCAGCGUGCCCCAUUCCCGCCAUCAGCGCCUCAGGCCUCUCAGCCUCCCUCCCUCCUGCCCUCAGCCUCUGUGAGUGUCCCCCCCACCCCGCCAUGAGGGCCUCAACCUCUCUUAGCGUCCCUCACUCCCACCAUCAGCCCUUCAGCCUCCCCUCAACCCCCGCCAGUAGCGCCUCAGCGUUCCUCCCAGCUCUGGCCAUCAGGGCCUCGGCCUCUCUUAGCGUCCCUCACCCCCGCUAUCAGCCCUUCAGCCCUCUCAGCCUCCCCUCAACCCCUGCCAUCAGGGCCUCAGCCUCUCUCCCUCCCUCCCUCCCAGCGCCCCCCGUCCUCAGCGUCCCCCCAACCCUUGUCAUCAGGGCCUCAGCUCUCAGCCUCCCUCCCUCAGGGCCUCGGCCUCUCUCCCUCCCUCCAUCAGGGCCUCGGCCUCUCUCUCUCCCUCCCUCCAUCAGGGCCUCAGCCUCCUUCCCUCUCAGCGCUCCCCUCAUCCCCGCCCUCAGCGUCCCCCCAACUCUCGUCAUCAACGCCUCAUCCCUCUCAGCCUCCCUCCCUCCCUCAGGGCCUCAGCCUCCCUCAGCCUCUCUCCCUCCCGCCGUCAGCCCUCUGAGGGCCUUCCUCAGCGUCCCCUCAACUCUCGUCAUCAGGGCCUCAGCCCUCUCAGCCUCCCUCCCUCCUUCUCAGGGUCCCCUUCACCCCCUCUCUCAGCGUCCCCCCAACUCUUGUCAUGGGGGCGUGAGCCCUCUCAGCCUCCCUCCUUCCCUCCCUCCGGGCCUCGGCCUCUCUCCCUCCCUCCCUCCGGGCCUCGGCCUCCCUCCCACCCUCGGCCCUCUCAGCGUCCCCCCAACUCUUAUCAUCGGGGCCUCAACCCUCCCGCCAUCAGGGCCUCAGCCUCCCUCUCGAGGCGGCCCGGCCCUCAGCGUCCCCCCAACUGUUGGGAUGGCGGCCUCGGCCCUCUCAGCCUCCCUCCCUCCCUGCCUCCGAGGGGCCCACUGGCACCUCUGGGCGUCGCCCUGGCCGCCCAGGACCGUCCUGAGGGCUGGGGUGGGGUGGGGUGAGGUGGGGUGGCCCUCCACGAGCCCGGGGGGAGAUGCUCCGGCCUUCCCAUGUCAGGUCCCCCGGUGGGGGGGGCCGGGGUCGGGGGUCCGGGGUGGGGCCUCCGGGGCCGGGCCGGGCCGGGCCGGGCCGGGGGAGGGGAGGUGA